This 2107-nucleotide long non-coding RNA is filed under the name Sorghum bicolor (sorghum). RNAcentral describes it as "long non-coding RNA (SBIC_LNC015051)". Lineage: Eukaryota; Viridiplantae; Streptophyta; Magnoliopsida; Poales; Poaceae. The record is from RNAcentral.
CCUCUAGUCUUCUAAAGAAUGUUAUUUUGAUAUUAUCUUAAGUCAAAUACUUUAAACUUUAACUAAAUAAUUAGAUUGAGUUUGAAAAUAUAAAAGUGAUAUAAGUUGAUUCAUCUUAAAAUAUAGUUUCAUAAAAAUAUACUUUGACUAUAUUUUAUAAAUAUUUUAUAGUAAAAAAUAAUGAUCAAAGUUAUUUUUAGGAGGCCGUGUUGCUAUUAAAAAAAUGGUCAAAUAUUGUGUAGUAAGUAGCAUUGGUGACGUCAUGCUGGUUGACUCAUGCUAUGUGGUAACAGUGACAUCCGCUAACCAACUGCCUAUCCCACGCAUAUACAUGUGGUUGUAUUCAUUUGGUUCGUUUCCCGUUUUUUUGUGUUUCUUUCCUCCUGAUUUAUAAUUUUAUUAUUGUUUCUUUUAUUUUUAAAUUUUUGUUUUUUUCUCUCCAUACUUCUAUUCCCCUGUUUAUUGCUUUAUUUUCUUUCUUUAUUUGUUCCUUUCUUUAAUCUUUUAUUUCCCAAUUUAUUAAUUUAUUUUUGUUUGUACUACCAUGAACUAGCAAUGCGACCCAUGGAAAUAGCAUGGGUCAAUGGGUGAUAAGCUUUUCUCAUUGUAAUCAUUAGUUUUUUACUUGAAAACUUUAGUUUUCGAAAAAAAAUCUAAUAGGAGUUAUUUAUUUGUUUAACUAUAAUUGUCUUCUCUCGAUGCUCCCCAAUAGCAUACAUCAUCGCCAUGAACUCCAUAAAACUAUUGUCUACCAAUAUAUAGCUUGGCUUAAAGACUUCUCCUCUUCUUUUUUUUUUUAUUUCACUCCUGUCUCGUGGCUAUGCAAUUUCUGCCUAUCCAUAUGUAGUCUUCAGUUCUUUGUUGAGCUCAGUAAAUUCACUGUCCAAAGUAUCUCACAAAAUCUCUAGUUAUUUAUCCAUUUUUAUAUUUCAAGUUUUAAAUCAUCUCAUACCUUUAUAGAUCCAUGGUUGCCUGUAUUGCCCUAAACCAUCACCAGAUUUGUUGGGGGCAUUGUUUUCUCAAGCAGCUGCUAGCCGCCUUGUAAUCUCACCAACUUCAAUUGGCGCAAGCAUACAAAAAAAAGAAACUAUGCAACUAUCAUUGACACUAGUGAGUUGCGCUAAUCUCUGGCAUGCUACUUAUGCCACUCCAAUGCAUUGUUGUGAACCAUGCUAUGACCAUGUUUGUUUUCCACUUAUGACCACUUUUUCAUAACAAAGGAAAAAUACAAUUUAUUUCCAUUGUGGUGCUCGCGAACUUCCCAUACAUGAUAAUCUUGGAUGAUUGAACAUCUUAUCCUCUCUGUGGUCAUCACCAUGAAAGACAUCAGAUUUAGCGACAAUCACGGUAAUGACACAUUUUAUUUAAUUGUUUCCUUUUCACCAAUAUUGAUUGUGAUGCUAAGCCUUUCCUGCUUGGAACAUAGUGAAAGUGUGGAUCAACAAUCUCAUGGGUAGCUUGAGAUGGCGAGACUUAACACAAUGGGGUAAGAAUCGAUGUAAGAAUUUGAAGUGCUUCAAUGCUUUCUAUAUGGACAUGCUGAGAAACUAGCUAGUGGCCAGCUUGGAUAGCUAUUUUGCAUAUGUUUUAUCCCUCCCAUAGAUGUUUCUUAUAGUUUUAUUAUUUUUAUUACCAUGAAAAACUUGAGUUAUAAUGCUAUUUGAAUUUCCACGCCAUCAUCUCUUUCCAUACUUCAAUCUGUACUAUAUUUUUUUUAAUUUUCUUUAGAUGUGUUUUGGUAGAUCUAGACUAGUAGAAUCUAGAUCUAUAUGAUCAAUUAGUAGGUUUUAGCACUUGGGAGUGAAAAGAGAUGAAUUUUUAACUUUUCUUAUACCAAAACACUGGCUUUGUAGUAAUGCAUGUUUUCCAACGUAUUUAAAUCAAACUAAUACUAUUUCAUUUUCAAUGUUAAAUUUGGAUGUAUUUAAUUAUUAUUUAUGUGGACUGAUAUUUAGUUAAUUUUUAAUUUCCAAAUCAUUCGGUGAUCAAACCUUUAAUUAUUUAGUCUUCUAAACAGAAUUUUUCUUUACUAAUUAUGUUUUACAUGUACUCUUUAUUUAGGUAUUUUCUUUUGAAACUCGUAUAAAAUCAAGUUGUUCUUUCCCUU